This 63-nucleotide transfer RNA is filed under the name Xorides funiuensis. Its description in RNAcentral is "tRNA-Ser". Lineage: Eukaryota; Metazoa; Arthropoda; Insecta; Hymenoptera; Ichneumonidae. The record is from RNAcentral.
AAAUAAAUAUGAAUAUAAAGAAACUUCUAACUUCUAAAAUAUGGUUAAAAUCCAUUUUAUUUU